This 250-nucleotide ribosomal RNA is filed under the name uncultured prokaryote. Its description in RNAcentral is "partial 16S ribosomal RNA". It matches the Rfam family "Bacterial small subunit ribosomal RNA", at positions 524 to 773 of the family's 1533-position model. The record is from RNAcentral.
UACGUAGGUGGCAAGCGUUGUCCGGAUUUACUGGGUGUAAAGGGCGUGUAGGCGGGCUGUCAAGUCAGAUGUGAAAUCUAUGGGCUCAACCCAUAACGUGCAUUUGAAACUGACGGUCUUGAGUGAUGGAGAGGCAGGCGGAAUUCCUAGUGUAGCGGUGAAAUGCGUAGAUAUUAGGAGGAACACCAGUGGCGAAGGCGGCCUGCUGGACAUUAACUGACGCUGAGGCGCGAAAGCGUGGGGAGCAAAC